This 75-nucleotide transfer RNA is filed under the name Candidatus Gottesmanbacteria bacterium RBG_16_52_11. RNAcentral describes it as "tRNA-Ala". It matches the Rfam family "tRNA". From Rfam's summary of the family: Transfer RNA (tRNA) molecules are approximately 80 nucleotides in length. Their secondary structure includes four short double-helical elements and three loops (D, anti-codon, and T loops). The record is from RNAcentral. Lineage: Bacteria; Candidatus Gottesmaniibacteriota.
GGGCCGGUGGCGCAACGGUAGCGCGCCUCGAUGGCAUCGAGGAGGCUGAGAGUUCGAAUCUCUUCCGGUCCACCG